Long non-coding RNA from Andrographis paniculata, 2727 nucleotides. RefSeq lists it as uncharacterized. The transcript is spliced from 4 exons. The record is from RefSeq and is a predicted model, not a curated record. NCBI's taxonomy places the organism in Eukaryota, Viridiplantae, Streptophyta, Magnoliopsida, Lamiales, Acanthaceae.
CUUUUGUUGGGCUUCUGCAUCGUCACUUGUUUCUCUGGAUUCUGCUUCCUUCGAAACAAUUGCCUGAACUCGCACUUCACAAAUGCUCUCGGCCUUCUGAGCUUCGCCAGCCUCAUUCAUUGAGGUGAAAAUACGACCUGAAGUUCGCGCUGAACUUUGUUGUGGUUAUGAACCUUUGUGGGGUCGCUGGUCUGUGAUCGAUAAUACUCAGAACACCAAGUCUCUGAAUUCGAUUUCCUAUGACUUUGUCUAGUCCCGUCUUCGCAGAACUGCAACUUGCUCUCUUUCUGGACACAUACCUGGUCUCUUGCCAUCAGAUCGCCUUCGAGCCUCAGGACUUUCUCCUCCAACGCAUUUUUCUUCAUCCUGCAAAGCUCUGCUUCCGACUGCACUUCGCGCUGGUAAGAAAGUUUCUCCACCAUAGCAACUCGCUCCCGUUUUAGUUUCUCAUAUUCUUCUGAUAACGAUUUGAAUGAUCCUUUCUGCACCUGAGCUUCCGACAUUGCUUCUUUACGCGACACCGUCAGUGUCAAAACUUCAUUCUGCAGCUCCGGCACUCUCUGCAACUGCAUUCUCAGCAGUGAACGCCUUUAUAUUUUCUUGCUUCCCCCUCCAAGAAAAGACACCGCUCUUCCAACUUCAGCUUCCGCUCCUUCAUCUUCCCGACGAGCUUUUGCUGUAACCUGCAUUCGUCGACAAGGGAUUCGGUUGUGGCCUGCAGCUUCACAUUCAGCUUGCUGAGGCGGUCGCACUCGUCCUGAGCUUCGGACCAUCGUUUCUCCGCUCCUUGCACCUUCUGCUUCGCGUCAAGUUUCUGGGAUUUGAUUUCUUCUUGCAGUCUUCUGACUUGAUCAUGGAGGCGCAUAAUCUCGUGCUCUGAAUGCUUCAACUCCAGCGAACCCGAUUCCUUUGCAUCGACCAGGUAUCUUAGCUGAGCUUCCAAGCCAUACACCCGCUGCGUUAAGUAUAAGUUUUCUUCUUCGAGUUCGCUAAUAUAUUUCAUCCACUGUGUCCCGAUUUCUUCAACGAUGUUGUCUGAAACACGGGAGCUCAUGCUGCUGCUGCUGUUGUAAAGAACAGCGUCGCUUACCGAAUGGCUGGAACAAUCAGAGGUGCUCAUUGUAAAAUCCCCGUCGAUGGUUUCUUGACAAUACUUCGGCACCUUAUUAUCGAUUUCCAUCUCGUAUGAAUUGGCGUUUCCUGCUAUGGAGUUGUCGUCGGGUUCCUCAUUCCUUGGGCAUUGUACAUCGAUCGCUGGUUUGUUGUCUCGAGAAUCUGUCUCUAGUUCCGAAAAAUCUGUUAAGCUCAGUAGUUCGAUCUCGUUGCUCUGAUCUUGAUGGUCAUUGUGUUUCGACUCUUUUAAAUCUUCUUUGCUAAUCGCUCUUGAUAAGGCAGCAUCGAGCUCACCUAAUCUACGGCUGUAUCCGUCGAGACAUCUCUUCAGAACAAGAUUCAUGGUAUCUUGCUCGAUCUCGAUCUCUAUGAUCUUGUCGUCGAGCGAGCUUUCUAAAAACAGAAUUCUGCCGCGAGAUGUUUGCAAUAAGUCUUGCAGGUUCAGAAGCUCAUCGGAGACUUGAUCGACAACGUUAACUUCAUCCGACUCCUCAUUCCGGAAAUUGAUUUUAGAAUCCGUUGCAAGUCUUUCCAGCUCGAGCUUCUGUUUCUCCAACGUUUCCUCCAUCUCUCGAAGAAGGGCGAUGAGCUCAAUGUUCGACUCUUGCGUUUUCUUGAGCUGUAUCGACAUAUGCUCGUUCUGCUCUACUUGGAAUCUCACCUCGUCCUCGAGCUCUUUCUGUAUAUCGCUGCUCGCCAUUCCCCGGAUCUCCGAGUAUUGACUCAUGCUCCCUUUUGGCGGCGAUUCUUCCAGCUGGGAUUUCAGCCGAUGGACUUCUUGAGUUAGUUUUCGACAAUCUUCCUGCGACGCAGAAAGUUCCUUCCUCGAAGUCUCCAAAUCGAGCGAUAGCUUACGCGCGUUCUGUUCCCACAUUUUUGCUUCAGAGAUGAGCUCUAGAACUGCUGGAUCAUCGGCUUCAGUGAAAGUCUCCGAGGAUGGAGCAGUCGUAACCGAUGAUUCGCCAAAGUCUAUUUUGCCAUACUUGUCCGAUGCCUGGAUCGAGCGAACUGAUUUCACCGAAUAAGAGGUGUAAGAUGCAGCUUCGAUGGAUUCGAUCGAGUCUUGCCUUCUGGUCGCUGUAUUGUUGCUGCCGCUUUGCGAAGACGGGCUACGCCUGCCUACAGAAUCGUCUGUCGUCGAGUCAAAGCUGGAACGUGAAACAAACGUUGAGAAACGUGCUUCCUGUAAUGUCCGGACAUCCGCUUUUGGUGUAAGACAGGUAACUUCAACCUGAAGAACAUAUAAAUUUCUCCGUAAACUGAAAACACAGCGCGUCGAAUUGAAAUGCUUGAGCACGGCGGCGGCGGCUUACUUGUAGAACGGUGGUGCUGUGGUGGUAUUUUUGCAACGGUAACGAUACUUGAGUCGGGGAUUGAGAACUCAGGAAGUUUUCCAGAUCGAGUGUGGCUUCGCCGAGGGCUCUGAGUUUCGAAGAUCCCUGUUUACGAUGGAUGUGUUAGAUCAACUGAAAUUGACAUCCUGAUUAAGAUCGGAGCUGUUAAACGAGCCAAACGAGCUUAAUAUUGGUAUAGAGAUUCAGUUAGAUUCGGUUGGUUAAGAAUUCAAGUUCGAGUUCGGCUCGCACAAAGUCAAAGAUUGGCUUAAAUUAUAUA